Molecule: long non-coding RNA, 128 nt
Filed under: Haliotis rubra (blacklip abalone)
Lineage: Eukaryota; Metazoa; Mollusca; Gastropoda; Lepetellida; Haliotidae
Description: uncharacterized LOC124267926
Source: RNAcentral
CAUGCAUUCACUGGCCUGCAUCAGGGGUGGAAAAAACCCAUUACCAGACGUCCGAGUCCAGUGUUUUUUUCUGUUGGGCAAGCAAAUUUGUAUAUUACACUGUACCGGUGUCCAGUUGACUUUCCAAC